UACGUAGGGCGCAAGCGUUGUCCGGAAUUAUUGGGCGUAAAGAGCUCGUAGGCGGUCUGUUGCGUCCGCUGUGAAAACUCGGGGCUUAACCCCGAGCCUGCAGUGGAUACGGGCAGACUAGAGGUAGGUAGGGGAGAAUGGAAUUCCCGGUGUAGCGGUGAAAUGCGCAGAUAUCAGGAGGAACACCGGUGGCGAAGGCGGGUCUCUGGGCAGUAACUGACGCUGAGGAACGAAAGCGUGGGUAGCAAACAGG
RNAcentral lists this ribosomal RNA (253 nucleotides) under uncultured bacterium. RNAcentral describes it as "partial 16S ribosomal RNA". It matches the Rfam family "Bacterial small subunit ribosomal RNA", at positions 524 to 776 of the family's 1533-position model. The record is from RNAcentral.